This 616-nucleotide ribosomal RNA is filed under the name uncultured bacterium. Its description in RNAcentral is "bacterial SSU rRNA". It matches the Rfam family "Bacterial small subunit ribosomal RNA", at positions 338 to 951 of the family's 1533-position model. The record is from RNAcentral.
CCUACGGGAGGCAGCAGUGGGGAAUUUUGGACAAUGGGCGCAAGCCUGAUCCAGCAAUGCCGCGUGAGUGAAGAAGGCCUUCGGGUUGUAAAGCUCUUUUGUCAGGGAAGAAACGGCUGAGGAUAAUACCUUCGGCUAAUGACGGUACCUGAAGAAUAAGCACCGGCUAACUACGUGCCAGCAGCCGCGGUAAUACGUAGGGUGCAAGCGUUAAUCGGAAUUACUGGGCGUAAAGCGUGCGCAGGCGGUUUUGUAAGUCUGUCGUGAAAGCCCCGGGCUCAACCUGGGAAUUGCGAUGGAGACUGCAAGGCUUGAAUCUGGCAGAGGGGGGUAGAAUUCCACGUGUAGCAGUGAAAUGCGUAGAGAUGUGGAGGAACACCGAUGGCGAAGGCAGCCCCCUGGGUCAAGAUUGACGCUCAUGCACGAAAGCGUGGGGAGCAAACAGGAUUAGAUACCCUGGUAGUCCACGCCCUAAACGAUGUCUACUAGUUGUCGGGUUUUAAUUAACUUGGUAACGCAGCUAACGCGUGAAGUAGACCGCCUGGGGAGUACGGUCGCAAGNUUAAAACNCAAAGUGAGUAGAGNGNGAGAGNGCGAGACGACACGAGGGAGGAGG